CCUACGGGCGGCAGCAGUGGGGAAUAUUUGGCCAUGGGCGCAAGCCUGACCCCGCAACUCCGCGUGAAGGAAGAAGGCUUUCGGGUUGUAAACUUCUUUUGUCAGGGACGAAGCAAGUGACGGUACCUGACGAAUAAGCCAUGGCUAACUCCGUGCCAGCAGCCGCGGUAAUACGUAGGUGGCAAGCGUUAUCCGGAUUUACUGGGGGGAAAGGGCGUGUAGGCGGGGAAGCAAGUCAGAUGUGAAAACCACGGGCUCAACCUGUGGCCUGAAUUUGAAACUGUUUUUCUUGAGUGCUGGAGAGGCAAUCGGAAUUCCGUGUGUAGCGGUGAAAUGCGUAGAGAUACGGAGGAACACCAGUGGCGAAGGCGGAGUGCUGGACAGUAACUGACGCUGAGGCGCGAAAGCGUGGGGAGCAAACAGGAUUAGAUACCCGUGUAGUC
Molecule: ribosomal RNA, 443 nt
Filed under: uncultured bacterium
Lineage: Bacteria
Description: partial 16S ribosomal RNA
Rfam family: Bacterial small subunit ribosomal RNA
Source: RNAcentral